RNAcentral lists this ribosomal RNA (1384 nucleotides) under metagenome. RNAcentral's name for it is "bacterial SSU rRNA". It matches the Rfam family "Bacterial small subunit ribosomal RNA". The record is from RNAcentral.
GGGUGAGUAAUGCGUCGGAACGUACCGAGUAAUGGGGGAUAGCGCACCGAAAGGUGUGCUAAUACCGCAUACGCCCCGAGGGGGAAAGCAGGGGAUUGCAAGGCCUUGCGUUAUUCGAGCGGCCGACGUCUGAUUAGCUAGUUGGUGAGGUAAUGGCUCACCAAGGCGACGAUCAGUAGCGGGUCUGAGAGGAUGAUCCGCCACACUGGAACUGAGACACGGUCCAGACUCCUACGGGAGGCAGCAGUGGGGAAUUUUGGACAAUGGGGGAAACCCUGAUCCAGCCAUUCCGCGUGAGUGAAGAAGGCCUUCGGGUUGUAAAGCUCUUUCAGCUGGAACGAAACGGUACGCUCUAACAUAGCGUGCUAAUGACGGUACCAGCAGAAGAAGCACCGGCUAACUACGUGCCAGCAGCCGCGGUAAUACGUAGGGUGCGAGCGUUAAUCGGAAUUACUGGGCGUAAAGCGUGCGCAGGCGGAUUGUUAAGCAAGAUGUGAAAUCCCCGGGCUUAACCUGGGAAUGGCAUUUUGAACUGGCAGUCUAGAGUGUGUCAGAGGGGGGUGGAAUUCCACGUGUAGCAGUGAAAUGCGUAGAUAUGUGGAGGAACACCAAUGGCGAAGGCAGCCCCCUGGGAUAACACUGACGCUCAUGUACGAAAGCGUGGGUAGCAAACAGGAUUAGAUACCCUGGUAGUCCACGCCCUAAACGAUGUCAACUGGUUGUUGGGGGAGUGAAAUCCCUUAGUAACGAAGCUAACGCGUGAAGUUGACCGCCUGGGGAGUACGGUCGCAAGAUUAAAACUCAAAGGAAUUGACGGGGACCCGCACAAGCGGUGGAUGAUGUGGAUUAAUUCGAUGCAACGCGAAAAACCUUACCUACCCUUGACAUGUCCAGAAUCCUGCAGAGAUGCGGGAGUGCCCGAAAGGGAAUUGGAACACAGGUGCUGCAUGGCUGUCGUCAGCUCGUGUCGUGAGAUGUUGGGUUAAGUCCCGCAACGAGCGCAACCCUUAUCAUUAGUUGCUACGCAAGGGCACUCUAAUGAGACUGCCGGUGACAAACCGGAGGAAGGUGGGGAUGACGUCAAGUCCUCAUGGCCCUUAUGGGUAGGGCUUCACACGUCAUACAAUGGUCGGUACAGAGGGUUGCCAAGCCGCGAGGUGGAGCCAAUCCCAGAAAGCCGAUCGUAGUCCGGAUUGUUCUCUGCAACUCGAGAGCAUGAAGUCGGAAUCGCUAGUAAUCGCGGAUCAGAAUGUCGCGGUGAAUACGUUCCCGGGUCUUGUACACACCGCCCGUCACACCAUGGGAGUGGAAUCUGCCAGAAGUAGGUAGCCUAACCGCAAGGAGGGCGCUUACCACGGUGGGUUUCAUGACUGGGGUGAAGUCU